RNAcentral lists this transfer RNA (77 nucleotides) under Candidatus Altimarinota bacterium. RNAcentral describes it as "tRNA-Ala". It matches the Rfam family "tRNA". From Rfam's summary of the family: Transfer RNA (tRNA) molecules are approximately 80 nucleotides in length. Their secondary structure includes four short double-helical elements and three loops (D, anti-codon, and T loops). The record is from RNAcentral. Lineage: Bacteria; Candidatus Altimarinota.
GGGCCGGUAGUCUCAGUUGGUAGAGCGCCUGCUUUGCAAGCAGGAGGUCAUGGGUUCGACCCCCAUCCGGUCCACCA